AUUGAACGCUGGCGGCAGGCCUAACACAUGCAAGUCGAGCGGAGCGGCGGACGGGUGCGUAAUGCCUAGGAAUCUGCCUGGUAGUGGGGGAUAACGUCCGGUAACGGGCGCUAAUACCGCAUACUAUCAGAUGAGCUUAGGUGGUAUUAGCUAGUUGGUGGGUGAAAGGCUUACCAGGGCGACGAUCUGUAACUGGUCUGAGAGGAGGAUCAGUCACACUGGAACGGAGACACGGUCCAGACUCCUACGGGAGGCAGCAGUGGGGAAUAGUGGACAAUGGGCGAAAGCCUGAUCCAGCCAUGCCGCGUGUGUGAAGAAGGUCUGCGGAUUGUAAAGCACUUUAAGUUGGGAGGCGUUACCAACAGAAUAAGCACCGGCUAACUUCGUGCCAGCAGCCGCGGUAAUUC
Molecule: ribosomal RNA, 407 nt
Filed under: uncultured bacterium
Lineage: Bacteria
Description: partial 16S ribosomal RNA
Rfam family: Bacterial small subunit ribosomal RNA
Source: RNAcentral